RNAcentral lists this transfer RNA (83 nucleotides) under Pedobacter cryophilus. RNAcentral describes it as "Pedobacter sp. AR-3-17 tRNA-Leu". It matches the Rfam family "tRNA". Rfam says of the family: Transfer RNA (tRNA) molecules are approximately 80 nucleotides in length. Their secondary structure includes four short double-helical elements and three loops (D, anti-codon, and T loops). Further hydrogen bonds mediate the characteristic L-shaped molecular structure. tRNAs have two regions of fundamental functional importance: the anti-codon, which is responsible for specific mRNA codon recognition, and the 3' end, to which the tRNAs corresponding amino acid is attached (by aminoacyl-tRNA synthetases). tRNAs cope with the degeneracy of the genetic code in two manners: having more than one tRNA (with a specific anti-codon) for a particular amino acid; and 'wobble' base-pairing, i.e. permitting non-standard base-pairing at the 3rd anti-codon position. Lineage: Bacteria; Pseudomonadati; Bacteroidota; Sphingobacteriia; Sphingobacteriales; Sphingobacteriaceae. The record is from RNAcentral.
GCCCAGCUGGCGGAACUGGUAGACGCGUCGGUCUCAAACACCGAUAGGAAACUGUGCCGGUUCGAUUCCGGCGCUGGGUACUA